This 468-nucleotide ribosomal RNA is filed under the name uncultured bacterium. RNAcentral describes it as "partial 16S ribosomal RNA". It matches the Rfam family "Bacterial small subunit ribosomal RNA", at positions 28 to 507 of the family's 1533-position model. The record is from RNAcentral.
GACGAACGCUGGCGGCGUGCCUAACACAUGCAAGUCGAACGGAAAGACCCUGCUUUUGUGGGGUUCUCGAUGGCGGAACGCGUGAGUAACACGUGUGUAACCUGCCCUUGUCUUUGGGGUAACAUCACGAAACUGGGGCUAAUAUCGGAUAGGAUCUCCUGCACCGUGGUGGGCGUUGGAAAGUUUCGGCGGUUGGGGAUGGACUCGCGGCUAACCGGCUUGUUGGUGGGGUAGUGGCUUACCAAGGCUUUGACGGGUAGCCGGCAUGAGAGGGGGAACGGCGUCCAUGGUCCUACGAGACGGAGCAGACUGCAACGGGAGGCAGUAGGGGGAAGUAUUGCACAGUGAGCCGAAGCCUGAUACAGAAACGCCCGGUGCGGAAAGACCGCCUUUGGGUUGUGAACAGCUUUCGCCUGUGACGAAGCGUGAGUGACGGUACUGGGUAAAGAAGCACCGGCUAACUACGUG